GGGGAUAUGGCGAAAUUGGUAGACGAAAAUCCGUCGACUUUAAAAAUCGUGAGGGUUCAAGUCCCUCUAUCCCCA
This 75-nucleotide transfer RNA is filed under the name Solanum adscendens. Its description in RNAcentral is "tRNA-Leu". It matches the Rfam family "tRNA". Rfam says of the family: Transfer RNA (tRNA) molecules are approximately 80 nucleotides in length. Their secondary structure includes four short double-helical elements and three loops (D, anti-codon, and T loops). RNAcentral also lists the same sequence under 9 other names. The record is from RNAcentral. Lineage: Eukaryota; Viridiplantae; Streptophyta; Magnoliopsida; Solanales; Solanaceae.